GCAAACCGAAGAAGGCGACCGGCGCACGGGCGAGUAACACGUAUCCAACCUGCCGAUAACUCCGGGAUAGCCUUUCGAAAGAAAGAUUAAUACCGGAUAGUAUACGAAUAUCGCAUGAUAUUUUUAUUAAAGAAAUUUCGGUUAUCGAUGGGGAUGCGUUCCAUUAGUUUUGUUGGCGGGGUAACGGCCCCACCAAGACUACGAUGGAUAGGGGUUCUGAGAGGAAGGUCCCCCACAUUGGAACUGAGACACGGUCCAAACUCCUACGGGAGGCAGCAGUGAGGAAUAUUGGUCAAUGGGCGCGAGCCUGAACCAGCCAAGUAGCGUGAAGGAUGAAGGCUCUAUGGGUCGUAAACUUCUUUUAUAUGGGAAUAAAGUUUUCCACGUGUGGAAUUUUGUAUGUACCAUAUGAAUAAGGAUCGGCUAACUCCGUGCCAGCAGCCGCGGUAAUACGGAGGAUCCGAGCGUUAUCCGGAUUUAUUGGGUUUAAAGGGAGCGUAGGUGGAUUGUUAAGUCAGUUGUGAAAGUUUGCGGCUCAACCGUAAAAUUGCAGUUGAAACUGGCAGUCUUGAGUACAGUAGAGGUGGGCGGAAUUCGUGGUGUAGCGGUGAAAUGCUUAGAUAUCACGAAGAACUCCGAUUGCGAAGGCAGCUCACUAGACUGUCACUGACACUGAUGCUCGAAAGUGUGGGUAUCAAACAGGAUUAGAUACCCUGGUAGUCCACACAGUAAACGAUGAAUACUCGCUGUUUGCGAUAUACAGUAAGCGGCCAAGCGAAAGCAUUAAGUAUUCCACCUGGGGAGUACGCCGGCAACGGUGAAACUCAAAGGAAUUGACGGGGGCCCGCACAAGCGGAGGAACAUGUGGUUUAAUUCGAUGAUACGCGAGGAACCUUACCCGGGCUUAAAUUGCAACAGAAUAUAUUGGAAACAGUAUAGCCGUAAGGCUGUUGUGAAGGUGCUGCAUGGUUGUCGUCAGCUCGUGCCGUGAGGUGUCGGCUUAAGUGCCAUAACGAGCGCAACCCUUAUCUUUAGUUACUAACAGGUUAUGCUGAGGACUCUAGAGAGACUGCCGUCGUAAGAUGUGAGGAAGGUGGGGAUGACGUCAAAUCAGCACGGCCCUUACGUCCGGGGCUACACACGUGUUACAAUGGGGGGUACAGAAGGCGGCUACCUGGUGACAGGAUGCUAAUCCCAAAAACCUCUCUCAGUUCGGAUCGAAGUCUGCAACCCGACUUCGUGAAGCUGGAUUCGCUAGUAAUCGCGCAUCAGCCAUGGCGCGGUGAAUACGUUCCCGGGCCU
RNAcentral lists this ribosomal RNA (1302 nucleotides) under uncultured bacterium. RNAcentral's name for it is "bacterial SSU rRNA". It matches the Rfam family "Bacterial small subunit ribosomal RNA", at positions 78 to 1381 of the family's 1533-position model. The record is from RNAcentral.